RNAcentral lists this long non-coding RNA (2098 nucleotides) under Carica papaya (papaya). RNAcentral describes it as "long non-coding RNA (CPAP_LNC010558)". The record is from RNAcentral. Lineage: Eukaryota; Viridiplantae; Streptophyta; Magnoliopsida; Brassicales; Caricaceae.
UUUAACAACAUAAUAAAAUUACUAACUAUCUAAUUUAAAUUAGUUGGACGUUGACUGACGGAAUUAAAUUUGCAUUCAACUAACCCAUCUGCCACCGGUUUCCAGUCGUACUAAUUUAGUAAAUUGACCAGCUGGCUAAGACACGUGGCACUCUGGACGACGAGAAAACGGAUAAAACCGGUAACGUCUUUGUUUUCGUUGACACGUGUCAUGCUUCGGUGGGCAAGCAAUUUCGUAUUUAUGCUCGUCCAUGGCGGGGAAAUGAAUGAUGCGCCAACCUGUUACUGAAGCUGCUAAUCUCUGCACUUUCCCCUCCGAGCCACGAACCAUCUCUCCCGCCGGCCACCUCUCCGUUUCCCGCUUUGACUUUUGCCGAAUGCAAGCGUCUGGAACGCCAUCGUCGGCAGCCUUUUUCUCAGCCCUCGGCCACGUUUUCCUGGUAAAUGGUACUCGAAGCUGCGUAGUUUCCGGCCCGACAGAGUCGAUUGGGUAAGGAGCUCAGCUUAGUCAUGCUUAAGGGUUGCGUGCAUUCCUGGAUUACACUUCAGGGUUCCGCGGGUGACGCUUUGUUUGCACCUUGAGAGUGCAUGGAAAGGUGUUCGACGAAAUGCUCGCCGGUGAGAUCAGCUUCGAGGAACGAGUGGAUUGCUUAGUUGUUUCAAUUGAUCCAGGUAAAAACAUUGAUAAUUCCAUUUCGGGUCGGGGUUUAGCUUAUUUCAGUACUAUGGACAUUCAAAAUUUUAUUUGGGAUGAAACCUUUAUAGUUAGGGAUAACAAUAGAGAUAUUUAUUUUAUAUAUUUUGGUAUUGAAAAUAAUAAUUUUGAUAUUGGCAAUGAUCAUUCUUUUUUGAGUGAAUUAGAAAAUUAUAGGUAUGGUAAUUCUAAUUAUAUGAAUAAUAAAUAUAAAAUUGAUAAUCUCCACUUUAAUAUUUAAAUGUAUAGUUAUAUUUUAAAUAGUAGUAACGACAAUAAUGACAAUUAUAUUUAUGGUAAAAGUAGAAAGAGUAGUGAAAGCGAGACCAAUUAUAUAAGUGGACCUAUAUAGAUGCUAAAAGAAUAGAAAAACAGUUUGCUAUGCAUGGAGAUACCCGUAAAGCACUCCAUUAUAUUAAGCUAAUUAGUUCGACGACUAUAAAUAGCAUGCACCCUAAUGCUGUAUAAUACAUGUUUGGUAUGUGCAACACGCAGGUUUGGUGGACAUGCAAUUAGAAUGUUAGGUUCUAUAUCGAGUAUUUGAGAAAGGCGCCUUGGAAGUAGAGUUAAUUUGCUAGGCUGAGCUAGGGUUGGGAGUGUAUAUUAUGUGGAGAUGAUCGAUAAAUUUUUUUGAUUAUCACGGGUGAUCAAGUUGGUUUUAUAAAUGUUAUUAUUUGAUGUUUAUUAAGUACCAAAAUUUAUAUAUUUUAUAUAUUAUAUAUAAAGAUACUAUAAUCUGUAAUAGAUUAUGAAUCUAUAGAGUUACAAGAAUAUCAUAUAGUUUUUAGGGUAUAUUUUUUAAAAAUUUAUACAUUUUUUUAUUUAAAGAAAAUUAUAAAUUGAUAAAGAAGUGUAUGAUAAUAAAAAAUAAAAAUAAUAAUAAAAAUUUUUAAAAAUUUAAUUUUAUUACAUUUUUACUUAUUCUUUAUUAAUUCACAAACACACUCUUUUCAAAUCUCUUCAUAAACAUAUGAAUUUAAAAAAUUAAAAAUUAUUUAAUUUUUAUAUAUGAAAUAAAAAUAUAAUAUAAAAAUAAAUUUCUGAAUAAAAAAUUUUGAAUUUCAAGUUCAUCCCAUAUAAAUUAUAUACUUUCAAUAUUUUCCUAAUGAUAUAUAAAAACAUAAAUAGAUAAUUCUGGAAUUGAAGAUAAGACUAGAGUUAUUAAUUAAAUCUUAAGAAUAUAAAUUAUGAUGAAAUUAUACAUAUUAAUAAUUAAAAUAUGAGAAUUAAAAAGUUUAAAUAUUCUUGUAACCAAACAAACAAACGUUAACGUAAUAACUUUAUAGACUUCUACUAACCCCAAUUCAGCAAAUGUACAUACAAGUCAGAAGCGGUUCAGUGUAAAGAACACGACAUGCCUGGCAAAUUAAUAGUUUACCAUGAGAUUCGACAAAUAUGCUACAGA